CAAACACAAAAAAGUAUAAGGUGGAGUAUCUUACAUACAUUUGAAAAGCGUAUGUAAGAUACUCCACCUUAUACUUUUUUGUGUUUGAAU
This is a non-coding RNA of Pelobates cultripes (western spadefoot toad), 90 nucleotides long. The record is from the annotation of a GenBank genome assembly. NCBI's taxonomy places the organism in Eukaryota, Metazoa, Chordata, Amphibia, Anura, Pelobatidae.